GUGGGGAAUAUUGCGCAAUGGAGGCAACUCUGACGCAGCCAUGCCGCGUGCAGGAAGAAGGCGCUACGCGUUGUAAACUGCUUUUAACCGGGAAGAAACCCCAGGACGUGUCCUGGGUUGACGGUACCGGAGGAAUAAGCACCGGCUAACUUCGUGCCAGCAGCCGCGAUAAUACGAAGGGUGCAAGCGUUAUCCGGAUUCAUUGGGUUUAAAGGGUGCGUAGGCGGAGCGUUAAGUCAGUGGUGAAAUCCUGCAGCUUAACUGUAGACUUGCCAUUGAUACUGGCGCUCUUGAGUGCGCUUGAAGUGGGCGGAAUGUGCCGUGUAGCGGUGAAAUGCUUAGAUAUGGCACAGAACACCAAUUGCGAAGGCAGCUCACUAAGGCGAUACUGACGCUGAGGCACGAAAGCGUGGGGAUCGAACAGGAUUAGAAACCCUUGUAGUCC
Molecule: ribosomal RNA, 445 nt
Filed under: uncultured bacterium
Lineage: Bacteria
Description: partial 16S ribosomal RNA
Rfam family: Bacterial small subunit ribosomal RNA
Source: RNAcentral